Rhagoletis pomonella (apple maggot) is the source of this 3128-nucleotide long non-coding RNA. RefSeq lists it as uncharacterized. The transcript is spliced from 4 exons. NCBI's taxonomy places the organism in Eukaryota, Metazoa, Arthropoda, Insecta, Diptera, Tephritidae. The record is from RefSeq and is a predicted model, not a curated record.
CUAGGACGUUCAUGUGCAAACAGCUCAAAGUGACGAGGGCGCAUCAUUCGCAAAUGCAAAUAUUGCAGAGAAAACACUCGAAGAAAUUUUAAGGGGAUCGGUUAGUGGAAGUAAAGUUUUGAAGUACUACAGUAAGACAAAAGUUCUUACGCCAAAAUACAGAAAAUUGCUUGCAGCAACAAUCGCAAACUAUUUGAUUUCGUCCGGAGUAAACUCGAGCCCAAAAACAUUUGAAUCGUUCGCCAGCCAGAUAUCGAAUUUCUUUUUAAGUGAGUCGAAGGACAUACAUUACAUACAUAAAAAGGGGAAAAACCAGGCGGAUGUUUAUACACUAAAUACCACAGCACUUUAUUCAAAUGUAGGCAUUAUAAAUAAAAAGCCCGCCGAAGAGAAGCCGCAAAAAGCAGCACAUAGCAAUUUAUGUACGACAGGUAAAGAUCUACUUUACAAACAGUGAGCGUCAAAAAUAAGUAAAAAUUUUCCUUAUUUUUUUAUAAAAGUAUAGUUUAUUCACAGCAAAAACCACAUGAAUAAAUUUAUUAAUUUCAUACAGAACUCGGGGAAAAUGAAGGAAAUUUUGAUUAAAAUUUUAAACUUUCCGCAGAAAAAUUGUUCUAAGAAAUCAAUUUGAAAAGUUGGUGCGUUUAUAAAUUAUUUUUAUAGACUACUCUCAAGAAAAAUCGUGCCUUAAGUAUAACGUCGAGCCUUUUGAUGAAGUGCAAAUCAAAUGGGAAUUGACUUUUGAAGUCAGGUGCCAAAUGCUGCAAGAUCAUUCAAAUCUAAAUAAAAUUUUAGAAGAAUGGCCACUAUAUAAGCAGAUUUUUGGACAUUUAUUGGUAUAACUCGUAAUAUAUUGCGUGCUUAUUUUGAAAUUAAUUUAUAAUUGAGUAAGGCCAAGUUCAAGUUAUCCUGUAAAUGUCAUUAACAUAAAAAAUAUACGAAUUUCUCCAAGUGAAAUAUUCCAGGAUUACUUCUCUGGGCUUUACUCAACUAAAUGAAUAUUUUAAAUGAUAUAAUGGGUAAUUAACUAAUGUUUGAUUGAUAGAUUGAGACGGACUUUAACAAAUUGUACCCAGAGAAGAAAAAUUUAUUAUUCGAAAAUUGGGAAAAUUUCAGCCAAGCAGUACGCCAUAUUUUUGAGAUUUAUAUUAAAUUAUUAUUAUUCACACAGUUUGACAACCUGGAAGCAAUUUAAGGAAGGAACGAUUAAAGCUGGUACGGAUGCGGUCACAUGCUAUCUUCUACAUUCUGGUUUAGUUCCAACCAGCCGAGAAUACAAAACGUGCAAGCAAACAAAAAAGAAACAUUUGGUCAAAGCCACUAUUGAAGAUUCCAGAAACAGUUUUUUAAUAUGGGCAACAACUAAUUGUGAACUUCAAUCAAAACUGAAAUUAAUGGUUGAUGAGAAUUAUAAGGGCAAAAGCACCAUUCAGCCCAUCAUAUGUGCUAUUGGAAUGAGCUUGCUUGAGAGCAACGAAUAUUUCGUGUACUUCGCCAACAUAUUUUAUAAGUUCGAUAAUGUUAUCAAAUGUAUUGAUGUGUGUUUUAAGAUAUUCCACGUACUUAAUCUUAAAUAUCCUUCCGAAUGCAAAUCUAUUUGGUUUUUUGUCCAGCAAUACUUUUAUGACAUUGCUUUGAAAUCACACGAGAAAAGUACCUCAUUGUGUGCAAUAUUAAGUGAUUUAAGACAAUUUAAAUGUUUUAAUAAUAACUAGAAAUGGAAGGAAAAAUUAAAUGUUUUGUGUGCACACAAUCUUUUGAACAAUGCGAUCGUUUAUUUAAACAUUUCAAAAUUAUUCACUGUUUAUCACAAUACGAUAUGUACAAAUGUGGAUUUACAGCUUGUAACCAAUCAUUUACGAAUUUUAAAUCACUUUGUAGGCACAUGCGAAUUGAACGCAAAAGAUAUGAAAUUACUUUAUUAAGCAAUCAGAAUGUAAAAGACGAAUGUUUAUCUAAUACUACUUCAAUGGUACCUAAUACUAUAAUAACAGAUACUGGUAAUCAAAGUACAAAUACUUUAAGUAACAUAACAAGUUUAAAUGUAAAUGAAGAAACUUUAAAAGAAGGUUGCAUUAAAUUGUCCUAGAAAAGAAACCGUUGAGUUGCAAAGAGAUGUUACAAACAUGAUUUUGUGUCCAUUAAAAAACCAUUUAAAACAAAUAUUGCAAAAUUUCGAUUCGCUAGGAAAAAACGAUAUUAAAGCUGAUAUUGAAAAUUUAGUAAAUAUUUGUAGCGAUCCAUUUAAAGACUUUAACUCAGAGUAUAAGUUUAUUAAAACUCUUAAAGAACUAAGUUUAUACGAAAAUCCACAAGUCAUCACCAUAAAUAAUUCAAUAAGUAACUUGCAAACUAGACAUGUAAACAAAUUAAAUUCAGCAUUAGUAAGGGGUGUGUUAUUUCCAAUUAAAUUUCAAAUAAAAAAAUUUUUUGAAUUGCCAGGCAUGUACGAAAAUUUUUCUAAAAGUCUUGAAUACUUAACCACCAAUAACGAAGUUUUAAAAAAUUUUGUAAAUGGCGAUAUUUGGCAAAAAAAAUUCAAAAUUAUAAAAACAAGUUAGUUAUUCCAUAUUUUCUAUACUUCGAUGACUUCGAAGUUAACAAUCCCUUAGGUUCACAUAGUUCAUCAGUUUUAGCAGUAUAUUAUUCCUUCCCCACCGCGCCAAUUUCUGUUAAACAUGAACUUCAAAGUAUUUUGAUAGCCGCUCUUUUUAAAUCACAAGAUGUUAAAUAAUUCGGUAAUGAUAAAUCAUUUUAUAAGUUAGUAGAAAUACUAAAUGAUUUAGAAAAUAAUGGUAUUGAAAUUAAAACACCAAACGGCAAUAAAAUAAUUUAUUUAUGUUUAGGUUUGAUAAUUGGAGAUAAUUUAACGCUUAACAAUAUUCUUGGAUUUUCUCGUUCAUUUUCUUCUAACCAUUAUUGUCGAUUUUGUAAAAUAAAUAAAACCGAUGCCAAAUUCGCUUUUAUUGAAGAUAAUAGCCAAUUAAGAGAUCAACAAAACUACGCUUACGAUAUUUCUUUGAACGAUUUCGAAAAUACUGGCAUAAGAGAGUUUUCCAUUUUUAUUAAUAGCCGUCAUCGAUUCGCCAUCAGUUAGCGAGUGGCGAAACGAACGAACUUAAUGAGGU